RNAcentral lists this ribosomal RNA (253 nucleotides) under uncultured bacterium. Its description in RNAcentral is "partial 16S ribosomal RNA". It matches the Rfam family "Bacterial small subunit ribosomal RNA", at positions 524 to 776 of the family's 1533-position model. The record is from RNAcentral.
UACGUAGGGGGCGAGCGUUGUCCGGAGUUACUGGGCGUAAAGGGCAUGCAGGCGGUCCGACACGUUUUGUGUGACAGCGGGUGGCUUAACUACCCGAGGAUACGAAAGACGGUAGGACUUGAGGACUCGAGAGGGACACGGAAUUCCGGGUGGAGUGGUGAAAUGCGUAGAGAUCCGGAGGAACACCAAAGGCGAAGGCAGUGUCCUGGCGAGUGACUGACGCUGAGGUGCGAAAGCGUGGGGAGCAAACAGG